RNAcentral lists this ribosomal RNA (200 nucleotides) under uncultured Diversispora. RNAcentral's name for it is "partial small subunit ribosomal RNA". It matches the Rfam family "Eukaryotic small subunit ribosomal RNA", at positions 591 to 792 of the family's 1831-position model. Lineage: Eukaryota; Fungi; Glomeromycota; Glomeromycetes; Diversisporales; Diversisporaceae. The record is from RNAcentral.
CCAAUAGCGUAUAUUAAAGUUGUUGCAGUUAAAAAGCUCGUAGUUGAACUUCGGGGUUUACCCAUUGGUCAGGCUUAAUUGUCUGUACUGGUGAGAUAAAUCUCUACCUUCUGAGGAACUUUCAUGCCAUUUAUUUGGUGUGAUUGGAAAUCAGGACUAUUACUUUGAAAAAAUUAGAGUGUUUAAAGCAGGCUAACGUC